UACGGGGGGGGCAAGCGUUGUUCGGAAUUACUGGGCGUAAAGGGCUCGUAGGUGGCCAACUAAGUCAGACGUGAAAUCCCUCAGCUUAACUGGGGAACUGCGUCUGAUACUGGAUGGCUUGAGUUUGGGAGAGGGAUGCGGAAUUCCAGGUGUAGCGGUGAAAUGCGUAGAUAUCUGGAGGAACACCGGUGGCGAAGGCGGCAUCCUGGACCAACAAUGACACUGAUGAGCGAAAGCCAGGGGAGCAAACGGG
RNAcentral lists this ribosomal RNA (253 nucleotides) under uncultured bacterium. RNAcentral describes it as "partial 16S ribosomal RNA". It matches the Rfam family "Bacterial small subunit ribosomal RNA", at positions 524 to 776 of the family's 1533-position model. The record is from RNAcentral.